Molecule: ribosomal RNA, 491 nt
Filed under: uncultured bacterium
Lineage: Bacteria
Description: partial 16S ribosomal RNA
Rfam family: Bacterial small subunit ribosomal RNA
Source: RNAcentral
GUGAACGCUGGCGGUAGGCCUAACACAUGCCAGUCGAACGGCAGCACAGUAAGCGCUUGCUCUUACGGGUGGCGAGUGGCGGACGGCUGAGGAAUACAUCGGAAUCUACUUUUUCGUGGGGGAUAACGUAGGGAAACUUACGCUAAUACCGCAUACGACCUACGGGUGAAAGCAGGGGAUCUUCGGACCUUGCGCGAUUGAAUGAGCCGAUGUCGGAUUAGCUAGUUGGCGGGGUAAAGGCCCACCAAGGCGACGAUCCGUAGCUGGUCUGAGAGGAUGAGCAGCCACACUGGAACUGAGACACGGUCCAGACUCCUACGGGAGGCAGCAGUGGGGAAUAUUGGACAAUGGGCGCAAGCCUGAUCCAGCCAUACCGCGUGGGUGAAGAAGGCCUUCGGGUUGUAAAGCCCUUUUGUUGGGAAAGAAAAGCAGCAGGUUAAUACCCCGCUGUUCUGACGGUACCCAAAGAAUAAGCACCGGCUAACUUCGUG